Molecule: ribosomal RNA, 776 nt
Filed under: uncultured Neocallimastigales
Lineage: Eukaryota; Fungi; Neocallimastigomycota; Neocallimastigomycetes; Neocallimastigales
Description: partial large subunit ribosomal RNA
Rfam family: Eukaryotic large subunit ribosomal RNA
Source: RNAcentral
UACGACUACAUAUCAGGCAUAUCAAUAAGCGGAGGAAAAGAAACUAACUAGGAUUCCCUUAGUAACGGCGAGUGAAGCGGGAAGAGCUCAAAUUUGAAACCUUCAAGGUUCUACCUUGACGAAUUGUAGUUUAAAGAAGUGUUUUCUGUUGGAGUUUUGGUAAAAGUUCUUUGGAAUAGGACAUCAUAGAGGGUGAGGAUCCCGUAUUUGACCAUUUCUUCCAGCUGUGUGAUACACUUUCAAAGAGUCGGAUUGUUUGGGAAUGCAGUCCAAAAUGGGUGGUAAAUUUCAUCUAAAGCUAAAUAUUGGCGAGAGACCGAUAGCGAACAAGUACCGUGAGGGAAAGAUGAAAAGAACUUUGAAAAGAGAGUUAAAUAGUACGUGAAAUUGUCAAAAGGGAAGCGUUUGACACCAGUGUUGUUUUCUCGAAAAUCAAUUAAAAAUGACCGGAUUUUGUGUUGUAUUGACUUUAUCAGCUUUCUGCACUUUUUUCUUGUCUUUUUUAAUGCACUUUUCGUUUAACAAGUCAACAUCAAUUUCUUUUGUUGUAAAAGAGUCAUUGGAAGGUGGCUUUCACUUUCGGUGAAAGUGUUUAUAGCCUUUGACUUCUGCAAUCGGAGAGAUUGAGGUCUGCAGCGUUAGAUCCUUCGGGGUUAGAUACAUUUGUGCUAAGUUAUAGUUUUUCAUAGACAACAUGUUGACUAUGAUUAAUCAUGUAGCUUACUCGCUUAUGCUAUUUUACCUACGCUUAGGAUGUUGAAUCUGUGCGAGACUAC